This 828-nucleotide long non-coding RNA is filed under the name Homo sapiens (human). Its description in RNAcentral is "HSALNT0370338". Lineage: Eukaryota; Metazoa; Chordata; Mammalia; Primates; Hominidae. The record is from RNAcentral.
AAAGGAAAAAAAAAGUGUCAUCUGGUAUCUGGGGUAUGUGCUUAGAAUGCAGAAUUCUGAUUUCAUUCCCAGAGACGCGAUUUUAGUAAGUCUGGCACGCAGCCCUGGAAUCAAUGUUUUUUAAACACCCUAGGUCUACACUGUGAGAAACACUUUCAUUUUCUUAUUCUUCAGGGCAGCGACGAGUCUCUGCAUUUCCGGGGCCUAGCACAGGGUGCAUGGCUGGCACUCAGUAAACGUUAGCUAAAUGUAUAGAUGAGUGAGUGAGUGGAUGAAUGUUUUUACUUUGGAUCUUUUUUUCAAUUAAGCAAGAAGUUUUCAGAGUAAUUCGGGUCCUAUUAGAAUUUUAAUAGAGUAUAGGCUCAAAUAACUUUCCUCCUUUCAAGGAUAUAACCUAAUUUGUGUCUGACAAGUAGAGAAGAUUGUAGAUUUCGUUUCCUUUUUUGCCUGUUGGAAACCGAACAUUUUUUCGUUUGUUUAAUUGUGUACCACAAAAUGUGGAAGAUUGAUGUCUCUGGAUAACAUUUAUUUGGCAGAAUAUCUUGACAUCGGAUGGCUUUUCCUCACCAGGCUCCAAAAUGUUAGGAAACAGAGAUGGGGCCCCAUUCAGAGCCUGAGCUCUGACACUGACUCCAGCCACUGAAAAUGAUGCCCAGAAAGAAUGGAAGGCAGUUCCCAAAUAAAUGAGAAGAGACAAGAAUAAAAAUAAUUUAAACUUAAAGUAAAACUCUAAACCAAGCCCAAGGCAUGGUGUGCAAAGCACCCAGCAUCAGCUACAUCCAGGAAGAGCAUCUAAGCCAGGACAGAACCUAGACAGAGUCUCACUUU